CUACCUCUGCCCCGAGGAAAGGAUAUGGAUCUGCAUAAUGUAAUCUGGUUCAAGGUGUACUGCAAGAUCCUACCAUACUAAGUGGCCUUUUGAUGUGAUUAUCUUAGCAAAGUUUGAACACCGACAUGAAAUAAGGGUUGCAAAGUAAAGAGCUGUAGCAUCUACAUGAACUGCAAAUCUCAUGGCAUCUGGACUUUCAUACCUAAGGUCUUAUUCAUCUCUUCAAGUUGAAAAGAUUCUAGACUGCAGAGCCUGAAUUCCCUGCAACAUUAUGCUUCAUGUGGAACAUCAGCCAGCCUACAGAUACAAGCUCCCUUUCCAGCUCUAAGCAAGAGGGACCACAAUGCUAAACAGUUCGUGGACAUGUCGCUUUUUUCAACUACGACUUUCCAUGAAACAGACUUUCAAAUUAAUUCAGCUAAAGCUAUUAAAAAUGCUUCAGUCAGGGUACCAUGGGUUUGCCAUCAGUUUGCCAUGAGUAUGAGAUUAUUGGUUUGAUAAGAAUUCAUCAAGUAAGGUCUAAAGGAACUAAGAUUUUCAAUGAUACUUCCAAGAAUUCUAUUAUUUUAAAAAGAAUGUCAGAAUCUUGCGGAAGAAAGAUCAAAAUACUAGUUAUAGGAUAAAGGAUAAAACUAAAGUCUUUAUCCAUAUUAAGUUAGCGCUGCUAUUUCAGCCUGCACUUUCGAGAAAUAUCUUAUUAAGGGUUGUUGCUGAUUUUAAAAUCAAUGAUUCUGUCAUGGAGGUUUAUUGUUUUUAAACUUACAUUACAUAGACAAAUCCGUUCAUGGUGAUGAAUCUUAAAAUAUCAAAUCGGAAAUUUGAGGGCCAAUUUGGAACUCUCCCUAGA
RNAcentral lists this long non-coding RNA (847 nucleotides) under Strongylocentrotus purpuratus (purple sea urchin). Its description in RNAcentral is "uncharacterized LOC105445982". Lineage: Eukaryota; Metazoa; Echinodermata; Echinoidea; Camarodonta; Strongylocentrotidae. The record is from RNAcentral.